Mesocricetus auratus (golden hamster) is the source of this 302-nucleotide long non-coding RNA. RefSeq lists it as uncharacterized. The record is from RefSeq and is a predicted model, not a curated record. NCBI's taxonomy places the organism in Eukaryota, Metazoa, Chordata, Mammalia, Rodentia, Cricetidae. The transcript has 2 exons.
CAGGAACAGUCUUCAACUGCAAAGUUGCCCUUGUGAAUCUCUGACUGAAGUUCUCUUCCAGAGGGGGCCGUCCACCCAGAGAUCGAGCCUCAUGUGGUUCAUGUUGGUCUUCAACUUGCUUUGUAGCUGAGGCUGGCCUUGAACUUCUGGCCCUCCCACCUCUACAUCUGGACUGUGCUGAGCUUCCAGGCAGGUACCACUAUGCCUGGAUGGAACCCAGAGCUUUGUGUGUACUAGUCAAGUACUCUGCCAACUGGGCUGCCUUUGCAGCCUCCUGAAAAUAAACCUGAAAUGUUCCAAAA